This 32-nucleotide non-coding RNA is filed under the name Prorocentrum micans. The record is from RNAcentral. Lineage: Eukaryota; Dinophyceae; Prorocentrales; Prorocentraceae.
UUUUUUUUUUUUUUUUUUUUUUUUUUUUUUGU